AUUCUUUGCUGAAGUGGAGGAAUUAGCUCUCAUAGUAACAACAUCUGAACAAAAUGAUUAUGAGAAUGACUGGAUCAUUGACUCAGGCUGCUCAAAUCAUAUGAUAGGCGAUAAAGAAAAGUUGCAGAACUUGUCAGAAUACAAAGGAUCCCGUGUGGUGGUGAUAGCCAAUAAUUCUAAGUUACCAAUAGCUCACAUCGGUAAGACGAUAGUUCCUCCCCAAUAUAGUGCUAACCAGAUGUCGCUUCAAAAUGUCCACCAUUUCUCAGGUAUGAAGAAAAUUUUGCUUUCAGUAGCACAAUUAACAUAAUUAGGUCACUUUGUUUUGUUUGGCCCAGAAGAUGUGAAGGUGUAUCAUGAUAUUAAGAUUUCAA
This 374-nucleotide unclassified non-coding RNA is filed under the name Hevea brasiliensis (rubber tree). The record is from RNAcentral. Lineage: Eukaryota; Viridiplantae; Streptophyta; Magnoliopsida; Malpighiales; Euphorbiaceae.